This 254-nucleotide ribosomal RNA is filed under the name uncultured bacterium. RNAcentral's name for it is "partial 16S ribosomal RNA". It matches the Rfam family "Bacterial small subunit ribosomal RNA", at positions 524 to 776 of the family's 1533-position model. The record is from RNAcentral.
CACGUAGGGUGCGAGCGUUGUCCGGAAUUAUUGGGCGUAAAGAGCUCGUAGGCGGUGUGUCGCGUCGGCCGUGAAAACCUGCAGCUUAACUGUGGGCUUGCGGUCGAUACGGGCAUCACUGGAGUUCGGCAGGGGAGACUGGAAUUCCUGGUGUAGCGGUGAAAUGCGCAGAUAUCAGGAGGAACACCGGUGGCGAAGGCGGGUCUCUGGGUCGAUACUGACGCUGAGGAGCGAAAGCGUGGGGAGCGAACAGG